CCUACGGGAGGCAGCAGUGGGGAUAUUGCACAAUGGGGGGAACCCUGAUGCAGCGACGCCGCGUGAGCGAUGAAGUAUUUCGGUAUGUAAAGCUCUAUCAGCAGGGAAGAAAAUGACGGUACCUGACUAAGAAGCCCCGGCUAACUACGUGCCAGCAGCCGCGGUAAUACGUAGGGGGCAAGCGUUAUCCGGAUUUACUGGGUGUAAAGGGAGCGUAGACGGCGGUGCAAGCCAGAUGUGAAAGCCCGGGGCUCAACCCCGGGACUGCAUUGGGAACUACCGGGCUGGAGUGCCGGAGAGGUAGG
Molecule: ribosomal RNA, 305 nt
Filed under: uncultured bacterium
Lineage: Bacteria
Description: bacterial SSU rRNA
Rfam family: Bacterial small subunit ribosomal RNA
Source: RNAcentral